Molecule: ribosomal RNA, 456 nt
Filed under: uncultured Anaerolineaceae bacterium
Lineage: Bacteria; Bacillati; Chloroflexota; Anaerolineae; Anaerolineales; Anaerolineaceae
Description: bacterial SSU rRNA
Rfam family: Bacterial small subunit ribosomal RNA
Source: RNAcentral
AGACGGGCCCCGCACAAGCAGCGGAGCGUGUGGUUUAAUUCGAUGCUACACGAAGAACCUUUACCAGGGUUUGACAUGCAAGUGGUAGGAACCGAAAGGCGACCGACCCUUCGGGGAGCUUGCACAGGUGCUGCAUGGCUGUCGUCAGCUCGUGUCGUGAGAUGUUCGGUUAAGUCCGCUAACGAGCGCAACCCUCGUCGUAUGUUAUAUGUGUCAUACGAGACUGCCGGUAAAAGCCGGAGGAAGGUGAGGAUGAUGUCAAGUCAGCAUGACCUUUAUAUCCAGGGCUACACACACGCUACAAUGGUCUGUACAAUGGGUAGCCAAGCCGCGAGGCGGAGCCAAUCCUGAAAGCAGGCCUCAGUUCAGAUUGCAGUCUGCAACUCGACUGCAUGAAGCCGGAGUUGCUAGUAACCGCAGGUCAGCAAUACUGCGGUGAAUACGUUCCCGGGUCUU